Nicotiana sylvestris (wood tobacco) is the source of this 105-nucleotide non-coding RNA. The record is from Rfam. Lineage: Eukaryota; Viridiplantae; Streptophyta; Magnoliopsida; Solanales; Solanaceae.
CAGUAACUUUGAUAUUGGCCAGGUUCACUCAGACAGAUACACAACAUCAUUUUGAAUGUUGGAGUUUUGCUUUGAUUGAGCCGUGCCAAUAUCUCAGUUCUCUUU